RNAcentral lists this ribosomal RNA (301 nucleotides) under uncultured bacterium. Its description in RNAcentral is "partial 16S ribosomal RNA". It matches the Rfam family "Bacterial small subunit ribosomal RNA", at positions 509 to 808 of the family's 1533-position model. The record is from RNAcentral.
CAGCCGCCACGGGAAUACGAAGGGUGCAAGCGUUACUCGGAAUUACUGGGCGUAAAGCGUGCGUAGGUGGUGGUUUAAGUCCGUUGUGAAAGCCCUGGGCUCAACCUGGGAAUUGCAGUGGAUACUGGGUCACUAGAGUGUGGUAGAGGAUAGUGGAAUUUCCGGUGUAGCAGUGAAAUGCGUAGAGAUCGGAAGGAACAUCUGUGGCGAAGGCGACUAUCUGGGCCAACACUGACACUGAGGCACGAAAGCGUGGGGAGCAAACAGGAUUAGAUACCCCCGAGUCCCUGUCUCUUAUACA